GACGAACGCUGGCGGCAGGCUUAACACAUGCAAGUCGAACGCACCGCAAGGUGAGUGGCAGACGGGUGAGUAACGCGUGGGAACGUACACUUCGGUUCGGAAUAGCUCCGGGAAACUGGAAUUAAAACCGGAUACGCCCUUAGGGGAAGAUUAUCGCCGAGGAUCGCCCGCGUCAGAUUAGGUAGUUGGUAGGGUAACGGCCUACCAAGCCGAUGAUCUGUAGCUGGUCUGAGAGGAUGANCAGCCACACUGGGACUGAGACACCGGCCCAGACUCCUACGGGAGGCAGCAGUGGGGAAGUAUUGGACAAUGGGCGCAAGCCUGAUCCAGCCAUGCCGCGUGGAUGAAGAAGGCCCUA
RNAcentral lists this ribosomal RNA (358 nucleotides) under uncultured bacterium. Its description in RNAcentral is "bacterial SSU rRNA". It matches the Rfam family "Bacterial small subunit ribosomal RNA", at positions 28 to 419 of the family's 1533-position model. The record is from RNAcentral.